UGCACCAGUCCGACUUCUAAUAAGCCAUGGUGGGUAUCAUCUGGAUUGGUGUUGUAUAAAUGUAACAAUAACAAGUUUUUCGUGUCCUAAUUUAUGUCUGGCCAUACAUUGUGUUUGUACUUCCAGACACAUUUCACGAAGCAGAACGCAGUCUUCAGAAAUAUCUAAGUGAACACUGUGAUAUGUCUGACCUUCAGUCCGAAGCUGAAACUCAGACCAGUCAUAAAAGAAAGCACAAACCAAAUCCCCUGUACACAUAUAGUGACUCAGAGGAUGAGCAGCCCACAAAAAAUGGUUUCCCCAGGCCCCUCGAGUGAAAAUACCAGACCUGACGAGAGCUGUUAGCGAACUCUGUGAGGAGGUCAGAGCCAUCCGCAAUACUGGCU
This is a non-coding RNA of Maylandia zebra (zebra mbuna), 386 nucleotides long. The record is from RefSeq and is a predicted model, not a curated record. Lineage: Eukaryota; Metazoa; Chordata; Actinopteri; Cichliformes; Cichlidae.